This 147-nucleotide signal recognition particle RNA is filed under the name Bacillus licheniformis. RNAcentral describes it as "partial signal recognition particle sRNA large type". It matches the Rfam family "Bacterial large signal recognition particle RNA", at positions 116 to 256 of the family's 256-position model. From Rfam's summary of the family: The signal recognition particle (SRP) is a universally conserved ribonucleoprotein involved in the co-translational targeting of proteins to membranes. Lineage: Bacteria; Bacillati; Bacillota; Bacilli; Caryophanales; Bacillaceae. The record is from RNAcentral.
GGGUCCUGCGCAAUGGGAAUCCAUGAACCAUGUCAGGUCCGGAAGGAAGCAGCAUUAAGUGGAACCUUCCAUGUGCCGCAGGGUUGCCUGGGCUGAGCUAACUGCUUAAGUAACGCUUAGGGUAGCGAAUCGACAGAAGGUGCACGG